CCUACGGGAGGCAGCAGUGAGGAAUAUUGCACAAUGGACGAAAGUCUGAUGCAGCAACGCCGCGUGAGGGACGAAGGCCUUCGGGUUGUAAACCUCUUUUAGCAGGGAAGAAGCGAAAGUGACGGUACCUGCAGAAAAAGCACCGGCUAACUACGUGCCAGCAGCCGCGGUAAU
This 174-nucleotide ribosomal RNA is filed under the name uncultured Actinomycetes bacterium. RNAcentral's name for it is "uncultured actinobacterium partial 16S ribosomal RNA". It matches the Rfam family "Bacterial small subunit ribosomal RNA", at positions 338 to 524 of the family's 1533-position model. The record is from RNAcentral. Lineage: Bacteria; Bacillati; Actinomycetota; Actinomycetes.